RNAcentral lists this ribosomal RNA (490 nucleotides) under uncultured bacterium. RNAcentral describes it as "partial 16S ribosomal RNA". It matches the Rfam family "Bacterial small subunit ribosomal RNA", at positions 30 to 507 of the family's 1533-position model. The record is from RNAcentral.
AUUGAACGCUGGCGGCAGGCCUAACACAUGCAAGUCGAACGGUAACAGGAAGCAGCUUGCUGCUUUGCUGACGAGUGGCGGACGGGUGAGUAAUGUCUGGGAAACUGCCUGAUGGAGGGGGAUAACUACUGGAAACGGUAGCUAAUACCGCAUAACGUCGCAAGACCAAAGAGGGGGACCUUCGGGCCUCUUGCCAUCGGAUGUGCCCAGAUGGGAUUAGCUAGUAGGUGGGGUAACGGCUCACCUAGGCGACGAUCCCUAGCUGGUCUGAGAGGAUGACCAGCCACACUGGAACUGAGACACGGUCCAGACUCCUACGGGAGGCAGCAGUGGGGAAUAUUGCACAAUGGGCGCAAGCCUGAUGCAGCCAUGCCGCGUGUAUGAAGAAGGCCUUCGGGUUGUAAAGUACUUUCAGCGGGGAGGAGGGGAGUAAAGUUAAUACCUUUGCUCAUUGACGUUACCCGCAGAAGAAGCACCGGCUAACUCCGUG